UUCGGCCUACGGGAGGCAGCAGUGGGGAAUAUUGCACAAUGGGGGAAACCCUGAUGCAGCAACGCCGCGUGAAGGAAGACGGUUUUCGGAUUGUAAACUUCUGUUCUUAGUGAAGGAGAAUGACGGUAGCUAAGGAGCAAGCCACGGCUAACUACGUGCCAGCAGCCGCGAUAAUACGUAGGUGGCAAGCGUUGUCCGGAAUUACUGGGUGUAAAGGGAGCGCAGGCGGGAAGCCAAGUAAGCUGUGAAAACUACGGGCUUAACUUGUAGACUGCAGUUGAAACUGGUUUUCUCGAGGGAA
RNAcentral lists this ribosomal RNA (301 nucleotides) under uncultured bacterium. Its description in RNAcentral is "bacterial SSU rRNA". It matches the Rfam family "Bacterial small subunit ribosomal RNA", at positions 330 to 650 of the family's 1533-position model. The record is from RNAcentral.